RNAcentral lists this ribosomal RNA (511 nucleotides) under uncultured bacterium. RNAcentral describes it as "partial 16S ribosomal RNA". It matches the Rfam family "Bacterial small subunit ribosomal RNA", at positions 353 to 869 of the family's 1533-position model. The record is from RNAcentral.
GAGGCCGNAUANUGCGCAANUGAGGNAUCUGCCGCAGNGACGCCGCGUGAGCGAUGAGUUNUUAAGAUCNUUAAGCUCNGUCNGGGGAAGAAGGGAACCGUAAGGCUUCUUGACGGUACCCANGGAGGAAGCCCCGGCUAACUACGUGCCAGCAGCCGCGGUAAUACGUAGGGGGCAAGCGUUGUCCGGAAUUAUUGGGCGUAAAGGGCGCGUAGGCGGCCUUUUAAGUCUGAUGUGAAAGCCCACGGCUUAACCGUGGGGGNUCAUUUGAAACUGGAGGGCUUGAGUGUCGGAGAGGGCAGUGGAAUUCCCAGUGUAGCGGUGGAAUGCGUAGAUAUUUGGAGGAACACCAGUGGCGAAGGCGACUNUCUGGUCGAUAACUGACGCUGAGGCGCGAAAGCGAGGGGAGCAAACAGGAUUAGAUACCCUGGUAGUCCCCGCCGUAAACGAUGGGUACUAGGUGUAGGAGGGUUCGAUCCCUUCAGUGCCGCAGUUAACGCAUUAAGCNCNC